GAAUUUCACUCCUUGUGAGUUUAAGAGCUAUGCUUCUUGUGGGUUCUUAGAUUGAACAUUUCUUUGAUCUUAUAAAGGUUUUCAUACCUUUGUGACAAAUCUUUGCUAGACCUAUCACUCUAUAGAGUUUGGCGUCUUCCCCUACACUUCUAUUAUUCUCCAUCUUUUCAUUUUUGUUUUUAAUUGCUUGUUCUAGUCCCAUGUGCUAAAUAAUUUAAAGCUUUCAUCCUUGGUCAAGUUUCAUCUAUUCCUUUGUUUAUAUGUGUGUCGUUUCCAUAAAGCUUAAUGCUUUGUUUGAUUGAAUAUGCCAUUGUUUUAAGGAUUAAGGAAGUUUGUUUUAAAUUCUUAUUGUUCUUUCCUCUUUAAUUCCCUUAAACAUGAAUCAAUCAAGGAUGAUAUGUAAAAGCAAUAUGAAUCUCAAUUGGGAUCAUAUCACAUAAUAAGUAAUUAGCAAGGUUAUUAUCUUGAAUGGGUAUUUUAAUAUUUAAUGGUAACUGAUGGUUGGGUUCUUAAUGGUAAUUGAUGGUGAGAACACAAAAAAUGAUAAAAACUUCAUGAAUGCCAAUUUUGCCUUCCCUUCGAAGUUUUGUUGCCAAUACCUCUUUCAAAUUCAUGUUAGUUUCUUCUCUGCAUUAGGUUUCAAUAAUCGUUGCAUGGAGGAGGCGCCACUCCUUAGAGUAUCUUUAGUGGUAGAUCCCAAGCUGGGAUCUUAAACUACUUUUUGAUGGACUCCACAGUGCCACGUAGGAGUAAAGAUUUGUUAAGAUCUCUAUCAUUUUUUCCUUUAAUGGUAGAUCUCAUUUUGGGAUCUUAAAUGAUUUUAAGUAGGUCUCACAUGGAUCCCACUUUUUAAUAUUUUAAAUUUUUUCUUUUUUCUUUCUUUUUCUUCUCCUCCCUCAACGUUCACGCUUCUUUUUUCUUCUUUUUCUUUCUUUUUCCCAACGUUCACACUUCCUUCUUUUUCUUUUUCUUCUCCUUUCUCGUGACCUUUCUUCUUCCUUUCAUCUUUUUCUUUUUUCCCCCUAACACUCACCCUUACUCCACCUCCUUCUUCCUUCUCCUUCCUCCCUCCCCCUCCACGGCCUCCUCUGCGACCUCCGCGGUCACCUCCAGGUAAUUACAUUUUUUUUGUUCUUCCUUUUCUCUUGUUUUUUUCUUCAAUGAUCUUCUCUCCUUCCCACUGAUUUCUGGUUUUUUGUUUUGAAUAUUUUUAAAUUUUUUUCACGUAUGGCCAGAGAUCUUCAAGGUUCUUGUAGAAGAACUCAUUCUUCAUCCUGAAGAUUUGUAGUCCCCCUUUAUUGCAAGAUCCACACAAGGUCAGAUCUUGAGCUUAAGAUCCUUGCUCAAAAUCUAGCACUAAAGUUGCUCUUAGAGUUGUUGUCGUUGUGCAUUCAGCCUUCACAAAAGUGAAAGCACAUGUCGAUGAGUAGGGUCCAUGGUGGUGGGUUGUGACUGAUCUCAGGAGAGGGAAAGAGACUAAAGAAAGUAAUGUUAUGGUGUGGGAGGUGUAUGAUAAGAAUGUGUGGAUUAGAUUAAUCUAAGGGCUCUUAAAAAUAGGUCAUGGUGAACCACUUAAGAUAGUGAUGUGCCCUAGAAACGGUCAUCUAUAUCUAUAUCUAUAUCUAUAUAUAUAGACAAAUAUAUAGAUAGAGAAAGAGGAGGAAUCAAAUUAUAUCGGUAUAACUUUGACAACUA
Molecule: long non-coding RNA, 1695 nt
Filed under: Glycine max (soybean)
Lineage: Eukaryota; Viridiplantae; Streptophyta; Magnoliopsida; Fabales; Fabaceae
Description: long non-coding RNA (GMAX_LNC000989)
Source: RNAcentral